CACAAACACAGAAAGGAAAGAAAGGGAACAGGGGGAGCUCGAGGGAGAAAAGGGGGAGACGAGAGACUGAGAAACAGGGGAAGGGGGAGUAAGAGAGCACGAGAUGCAGAGGGAAGAGGGGAAGGGGGGAGUAGCGCCGGUGGGUGUCUCUGCUACCGUGGCUGCUGUUGCCGUCGAAUAGAAGAGGGAGGGAGGCUGUCGCACUUCUAGCUGCCGCUGAAGCUCCCCUCACCACUGUCAACGUUGGUUAGGGCAGAGGAGAAGAGGAAGAAUAACGGAGAAGUGAGACUGACGGGGAGGGUAAUACGGUUGUUGUUGAUUUGGAGCUGCUACAAGAACGGCGUUUCCUGCUUCUAAUCUCUGUCCUUUUGAUUUUUGGAGCUGCCGUGGAUGGAGCUUGUAAUCAGAGAAAGCAAGCUGCCGCCACCAACUCUUAAUUCAGCCAGUGUCUUCCUCCUUGUUCUAAUUUCAAUUUUCCUAUUUCUGAAACCCCCCUUUCUGGCACCUAUUUCCUGUUACAAUUAGGUCGAGUAUUGAAGCUGGUGCUGCCAUGGGACGAUUGAAGUUGUUACUGAUUCUGAUUUUGCUAUCUGGUUCUUGCUUUGUCUUGAAUUCUUAGAGCUGAAAUUGCUUUGGAUUCCUAUCCAAUUUGAAUCCUCUAUCUUACUGUAACCAUGGUCAGUGCUGCGAAGGCUAAUAUUGUUGCUGUUCCGGUUGCGUGAGAGUUACCGCUGCUGCCUUGAAACUAAAAGAGAAGAGAGUUGUUACGUUAAAGUAUGCGAUUGCGACAUCGAGUGACACAGGUUUGAAGACGCAACUUGAAGCUGCGAGCGAUUAGUAGGUUUUCUUUAUGGUUUAAUUUGGUCUGGUAGAGUCCCCUCGCCGAUUGUCCCUUGAGAUUUUAUUUCAUAUAGAGGGGUAGGUUUAGUAUAUUGUAUUUGAGUUUUAUUUGGUUUCUUUUGUAUAAGUAUUAUUAUCAAUAAUAUUUAUGUGAUUAUUAUUAUUUGUAAAUGUUUGAAUUAUGACUUUAAUGAAUAAAAAAACAAAAUUUUCUGGAAUUUUCUUAAAACUAAAAUGCGAACUCGAUACAGAGGCUCGAUAAUUAAGUAGUUAAUACUAGAGAAGGUUACGUAAUGUUCUUUCUAGUAGAAAUACCCUGACUUAAGCAAGGUAUUUUGCUGGAAGGGAUGUUACACUCUAUCAAUCACAGGAACAUGAGCUAGGGUAGAAGUAUCUACCCAAGUUAAAAGAGAAGAGGGGACUUUUGUUGACAUAUCGUGAAUAACAUAUCGAGACAUAAAGUUAUACCUACAAAUACAACACACAAAGAAGCCAUCACGAAACGAACUCAGACACCAAGCAAAGGAAGUUGACAGAAUAGCAAUUUCAAAAGAAUGUGUUCACAAUCAAAUUCAACAGUUAAAAAAUGAUGUCACUUUCGAGCAAGCAAACGCAACACCAUUUGGGGACAACAUAAUCAAAGUCUAUAGCAACAAUCUCAAACAAUAGACAAGUUAAAAAAAUGUUUUCAAGAACAAACAAGUAGUGGCAGUUAAAGGAAAAAAUAAAACUCCCAUCAUCAACAAAUAUUUCCAAACAUCAUUUAAAGUAUCAUU
Arachis stenosperma is the source of this 1616-nucleotide long non-coding RNA. RefSeq lists it as uncharacterized. NCBI's taxonomy places the organism in Eukaryota, Viridiplantae, Streptophyta, Magnoliopsida, Fabales, Fabaceae. The record is from RefSeq and is a predicted model, not a curated record. The transcript has 4 exons.